RNAcentral lists this ribosomal RNA (510 nucleotides) under uncultured bacterium. RNAcentral's name for it is "partial 16S ribosomal RNA". It matches the Rfam family "Bacterial small subunit ribosomal RNA", at positions 28 to 507 of the family's 1533-position model. The record is from RNAcentral.
GACGAACGCUGGCGGCGUGCUUAACACAUGCAAGUCGAACGAAGAGCGAUGGAAGCUUGCUUCUAUCAAUCUUAGUGGCGAACGGGUGAGUAACGCGUAAUCAACCUGCCCUUCAGAGGGGGACAACAGUUGGAAACGACUGCUAAUACCGCAUACGAUCUAACCUCGGCAUCGAGGAUAGAUGAAAGGUGGCCUCUACAUGUAAGCUAUCACUGAAGGAGGGGAUUGCGUCUGAUUAGCUAGUUGGAGGGGUAACGGCCCACCAAGGCGAUGAUCAGUAGCCGGUCUGAGAGGAUGAACGGCCACAUUGGGACUGCGACACGGCCCAGACUCCUACGGGAGGCAGCAGUGGGGAAUCUUCCGCAAUGGACGAAAGUCUGACGGAGCAACGCCGCGUGAGUGAUGACGGCCUUCGGGUUGUAAAGCUCUGUUAAUCGGGACGAAAGGCCUUCUUGCGAAUAGUGAGAAGGAUUGACGGUACCGGAAUAGAAAGCCACGGCUAACUACGUG